GUAGGGUCCGAGCGUUGUCCGGAGUUACUGGGCGUAAAGCGCGCGCAGGCGGCGGCGUGGGCUCGGCGUGAAAGCCCCCGGCUCAACCGGGGAAGGUCGUCGAGGACCGCGCCGCUUGAGGGCGGUAGGGGCUGGUGGAAUGCCUGGUGUAGUGGUGAAAUGCGUAGGGAUCAGGCGGAACACCCGUGGCGAAGGCGGCCAGCUGGGCCGUCCCUGACGCUGAGGCGCGAAGGCGUGGGGAGCGAACGGGAUUAGAUACCCCGGUAGUCCACGCAGUAAACGAUGCCGACUAGGCGUGGGGGGAGUUGACCCCCUCCGUGCCGGAGCCAACGCGGGAAGUCGGCCGCCUGGGGAGUACGGCCGCAAGGCUA
RNAcentral lists this ribosomal RNA (371 nucleotides) under uncultured bacterium. Its description in RNAcentral is "bacterial SSU rRNA". It matches the Rfam family "Bacterial small subunit ribosomal RNA", at positions 527 to 896 of the family's 1533-position model. The record is from RNAcentral.